This 253-nucleotide ribosomal RNA is filed under the name uncultured bacterium. RNAcentral's name for it is "partial 16S ribosomal RNA". It matches the Rfam family "Bacterial small subunit ribosomal RNA", at positions 524 to 776 of the family's 1533-position model. The record is from RNAcentral.
GACGAACCGUGCGAACGUUGUUCGGAUUCACUGGGCUUAAAGGGCGCGUAGGCGGCUUGCCAAGUCAGGGGUGAAAUCUUUCGGCUUAACCGGAAAAUAGCCUCUGAUACUGGCGAACUAGAGGGAGGUAGGGGUGCGUGGAACUUCUGGUGGAGCGGUGAAAUGCGUAGAUAUCAGAAGGAACGCCGGUGGCGAAAGCGACGCACUGGAUCUCUACUGACGCUGAGGCGCGAAAGCCAGGGGAGCGAACGGG